RNAcentral lists this transfer RNA (72 nucleotides) under Ovis aries (sheep). It matches the Rfam family "tRNA". Rfam says of the family: Transfer RNA (tRNA) molecules are approximately 80 nucleotides in length. Lineage: Eukaryota; Metazoa; Chordata; Mammalia; Artiodactyla; Bovidae. The record is from Rfam by way of RNAcentral.
UCCUUGGUGGCUCAGAUGUUAGAGAAUCUGCCUGCAAUGCAGGAGACUCAGGUUCGAUCCCUAGGUCAGGAA